CUCGCAGGGCGUGAUUCGGUUACACUCAAAUAUGGCUACCAUGGAGUCAAAGCUACAACUUUAAUAUUUGUACCAAUGCAGAAAUUUAACGUUUUACGUUAUUCUCCGUUCUACAGUCGCGUCUAAUAAUCGUUUUUCGCUCGUACAAAUUGCGAAUACCCAGGAAAGUAGAUCAUCUCGGCGCGUUUAGCGUUAAUAAAUAGCCUAUUGCUCGAAAUUGCAGCUUGCUCCGCGAGCUGAUCGAAGUCGUCAGGAUUGAAAGCUUGAAAGCGACGUCUGCUUUCGGUUUUCUCUCAUUCGAGGAUAUUUUGGGCUGUAUUUUCCCGAAUGUGGCCAGGGCUCGGCUCCUGUCAUCGGUCGGUAUGGCUUGUUUUCGGAUGAGGGAGGAUUUGGCGAUGUGGGAUGAAGCGGAAUAAAGAAAAGUGAUCCGCUCAAACCGAGGGAAAGCGGCUGCGUUCUGUCUGUGGAUUACACAUUGCAGAUGUUCCGCACAUAAAAGUGGAUUUUACUGGAAUACGUGUUCAGAAUCGCAGAAGAUAUCGCUUUGUCACGCUGGCUUAUUUUCCUGAGGAAUAGUGGUGUAUUCCUCCCCAACCCCCCCAGCGCCACAAACACCAAACAAAAGUACUAUAAGUCACGUAUAUGACGGUUCAUGUCAUGAAGGAAAUAAAUAAAAAUCGCUAGGGUCGAAGAGAAUGUCAUCAGAGGAGAAAAGUCUAGACCCCUCUGACAAAGGACCCUCGCCACCUCCUAGCAGCUCUGGGGCCACUCCCACUGGAAGUCCGGCCCCCACAGAUAAGCGGCCCCGGGGCCGCCCUCGUAAGGACGUGUUAUCCACAGCAACACCGCUUCAGUCUGUGCCCAGACAGAGAAAGAAGAAUCGGGGGCGAGGGAAAGCUCUGGUGGAGGAUGAAGACAGCACAGAUGGAAUGGAGACUGCAGAAACAGGAAGCACACAGGAGACAGUCACUAAAGGGGAGCAGGAGGAGACGGCGGGCGCCUCUGCCGUGGCAGUUUCAGCAGAGGGGGAGGAAGAGGAGCAGUUGUCAUCCCCUCUUCCUGCGAGCCCUGAGACGGGGGCGGCACAAACAUCAUCAGCCUCU
This 1103-nucleotide long non-coding RNA is filed under the name Sinocyclocheilus grahami. RNAcentral's name for it is "lncRNA (ENSSGRG00000049549.1)". The record is from RNAcentral. Lineage: Eukaryota; Metazoa; Chordata; Actinopteri; Cypriniformes; Cyprinidae.